UACAGAGGGUGCAAACGUUGCUCGGAAUUACUGGGCGUAAAGCGCGUGUAGGCGGUUCCGCAAGUCAGGUGGGAAAGCCCAGGGCUCAACCCUGGAAGUGCACUUGAUACUACGGAGCUUGAGUACUGAAGAGGAGAGCGGAAUUCCCGGUGUAGAGGUGAAAUUCGUAGAUAUCGGGAGGAACACCAGUGGCGAAGGCGGCUCUCUGGGCAGAUACUGACGCUGAGACGCGAAAGCAUGGGGAGCAAAUAGG
RNAcentral lists this ribosomal RNA (253 nucleotides) under uncultured bacterium. RNAcentral's name for it is "partial 16S ribosomal RNA". It matches the Rfam family "Bacterial small subunit ribosomal RNA", at positions 524 to 776 of the family's 1533-position model. The record is from RNAcentral.